Molecule: ribosomal RNA, 204 nt
Filed under: uncultured Rhodocyclaceae bacterium
Lineage: Bacteria; Pseudomonadati; Pseudomonadota; Betaproteobacteria; Rhodocyclales; Rhodocyclaceae
Description: partial 16S ribosomal RNA
Rfam family: Bacterial small subunit ribosomal RNA
Source: RNAcentral
UGACGUCAAGUCCUCAUGGCCCUUAUGGGUAGGGCUUCACACGUCAUACAAUGGUCGGUACAGAGGGUUGCCAACCCGCGAGGGGGGAGCUAAUCCCACAAAGCCGAUCGUAGUCCGGAUCGCAGUCUGCAACUCGACUGCGUGAAGUCGGAAUCGCUAGUAAUCGUGGAUCAGCAUGUCACGGUAAAUACGUUCCCGGGUCUU